UGUUAAAAAUUUAAUCCAUUUAUACUGUUAAAAAUUAGGGUUGCUGAUGAAAUAAUCAAACAAUUAUAUGUGACGUGCCAUGUAUACCUGAUGUUGACGUACAAUGUCUUGUUUUUAACAAUAAAAAUAGAUGAAAUUCUUAACA
Non-coding RNA from Gossypium raimondii (Peruvian cotton), 145 nucleotides. NCBI's taxonomy places the organism in Eukaryota, Viridiplantae, Streptophyta, Magnoliopsida, Malvales, Malvaceae. The record is from Rfam.